This 6933-nucleotide long non-coding RNA is filed under the name Sus scrofa (pig). RNAcentral's name for it is "lncRNA (ENSSSCG00015007390.1)". The record is from RNAcentral. Lineage: Eukaryota; Metazoa; Chordata; Mammalia; Artiodactyla; Suidae.
UGGGAAGGACACGAGGAGGACACGCUUCCUUCCUCGGAAUCGAGUCCUGGAGAUGCUGACACUGGAACCGGCUGUCUAAUUUUUGCGUGGCUGCUCUGGGUUGUGCUCUUUGUGGGCUCUAGUCCCUGCUCGGUUUCUUGGCGGCCCUUUACCUCACCCUCAGAUCCUUUUCUCAUUUGCUGUUCCUCAGCUGUCAUGUCUGAGUGCAUCUGAACGCCACCCUCCCCCAAAGCUCCCUGUCCAGGCAGGGUCCAGCUCCUUUCCUCCGCCUCUGUCUACUUCCUGUGUGUUUCUGCAGUGUCGCUGUGCCCUAGCCCAGGAUCCUGCCCAGUUUCCACAUGUGUCACUGUCCACAGGCCCAACAUUACCUUAAAGCAGUCCCCAAGGUGCAUGUUCCCCCAACUAAGGCUUCGGAUGAUCACCGCUGCCAUGUCCAACAUCCAGAGCUCCCUCCUCCUAGAGCAUUCCCUGACCCACCAGGCUCCAUGAAGCUCCCAUUAUGCCCAUGAGCCCCCAGGGGUCCCAGCCAUCACUUUUUCUACAGUGCUGAAAGUCCAUCUUACAGAUUUGUCAUCCCUCCCAGCAUCCUCGAGGGCAGGGAGAAAUCUUGUCCCUUCUGUAGCCCCAAGGCUGACCACUGUAGCUGGCAAAUAGAAGACUCCAAUAUGACUUUGUUGAUCAAAGCCCUCCCUUCUCUAAAAGGCCCAGAAUCCCAUCAAACAGCAGAGCCUGUACUGCAUCACAGGAUAAUGCCUCAGGCUGUGUCCUAUCGUACUGUAGUCUACAGAAGGCAGAGAGGUGCAUGUAUGCCAAUUAACACUACAAUACACAAUUCACAAAUUAUUCAGAUUUUUAAAUUCUCAUCUAUUUCAUAUUGGCCUAAAGGAGUCAGUGGAAAGCUGCUGGGGGUACCAUUGUCUCCUAAAGCAGGAGGGUUGGGUGUUUUCAGGACCCAGUUCCCAUCUCCCCACUCCCUCCCUCCCAAUGACUUCCAUAAUUAGAACAAACACAGGAAUUCCUGUUAAAUACCCGACAUUGUCUUUGUGAGGAUGCAGGUUCAAUCCCUGGCCUCACUCAAUGGAUUAAGGAUCUGGCAUUGCCACAAGCUGUGGUGUAGGUCACAGCUGCGGCUCGGGUCUGGUGGUAUUGUGGGUGUGGCAUAGGGCUCAGCUGCAGCUCCAAUUUAACCCCUAGCCCAGGAGCUUCCAUAUGCCACAGAUGUGGCUGUAAAAAGAAAAAAGGAAAAACAGAACAAAAAGUGGUUUAUGUUCUCAAAUAUAACCAAUCAUUCAUCACUUUACCAAGAUCCCGGGCCAUGGCUUAUAGGUCUCACUUUGGGGUGGGCGGAGAGGAGAGAGGAGGAAAGCCACAGGGCACCUGGAACACGGUAGGCUCUUGGUAAUUGUGUGUUUAAUGAAUGAAUCAUUAGAACUCAUAAGAUUACUUCCAACUCCAAUGCCAGUGUAAGCAAGGAGAUUCCAUCAGACCCCUGAACUGAUGGCCAUUUCGGAGGGGCUCUGGCCUGGGGUCUGGGCGUUUCACACUCCACAGCUUUUUAAGGGGUCUGAUUAGCCGACUUAGCUCCCAACUUAGCUCUGAUCCUUGUCCAUUUCUGUCUGUGUUUCUAUUCCUCUAAUUUCCUCAAACACCAGCCUAUGACACACCAUUGACUUUUUUCCCUUUCACUCUAGACACUUGUUUGGUUGAAUUCUUUCGUGUGUGUGUGUGUGUCCAUGUGUUUGCACGUGCAUGUGCGUGUGCGCGCAUUCAAGUGUGAGUGUGUGUGUGUGUUGUAAGAAUCUUAACAUAAGAUCUACCCACUUAACAUAAUUUCAAGUGCACAGAUAGUACAGUUAACAAAGACGCAAUGCUGGGAAGGAGACCUCUAGAAUUUAAGCUUCUUACAUAAUUGAAACUUCAUACCGGUUGAACCAUGUUGAAGAAAGUUAUGUGACAUAAUGGGGAUGGCGUUAGGCUGGAAAAUGUGGAUCCUUCUUCCGUGGUGAGUGUCCUAGGACAAGUCUGCUAAUUCGCUUUAUCCCCAGGUGCUUUAAGGACAGCAGGAGGGCAACGAUCACUUCCCCGUCUGCCUCACGUGAUCACUGUGAAAGUCACGAGACCCCAUUGAGCUUCACAAAUAUUAUUCCUACAUAUUUAAACACUCUGAGGUGCUUCAAUGCUAAUGGGUUAGAAAUAUUUACAUCUUGGGAGGAAUAAUAGUACAGAGCAAGAGUCAAAAACUGGGGACUCAUGGGAAAGUCCCAGCCACUAGAUGUGUUUUAUUUGGCCCAUGUGGUGUUUUAUAUAUUGGAGCCAGUACUUAACAAUAAAUAGAUUUGAUUAAAAAAAAAAACAAAUAGAACUCCAGUGCUUUGUUUUGUGUGUUUGUUUGUUUUGAAAACUGGAACUCUAUCAGUGCAGGGAGUGCUUUCCCAGAGAUAACAUUUGGCUGAAGCCAAGCAGCACCUGCCCUUUUGGAUAAGUCAUGAGCUCUAUAAUUCACCAGCAUCCCCACCUAUCACACAGGUAUAUGUGCAUUUACACACACCUGUUUCUUUCAUUUUGGCUAAUGGCCUGGAUCCAGUAGCCAUUUUUCUCAUGACCUUCUAGAGUAGGCAAAAUAGAGCAAGAAAAUCCUAAAUUCAAAUCUUGUUUUUUUCCAUUUGAUACCUAGGUGACUAUGGGCAGGUAAUUAACACAUCUGAAAUUAUCCAUCUUCUCACUUUUCAUUUGGACAUAAAAUUAUCCACUCUGUAGUGUUUGAGGAGAUUUAGAUAUAUGGUUUGUAUAGCAUUAGGCACAUAUUCAUCAAAAGAUGUCCUAUUAUUUGAAAUGGAAUUCAUACUGGAAGAAAAUCAACAAAAGGAAGGUAUUGCUAAUGAUAGGAAUGUAAGGACUGGGGAAAAGAAAUUCUCAGUAGAGCAAUUUCAGCACAUAAGACCUGAACUUUAUAGGAGAACAUAUAGCCGCUGCUAGAACUUCAGUCAUAAAUACAAAUAAAAUAAUGGUCAGUCACAACAGCCAGACCGUCUUUGAGAACUUUCAACGUUCAAUCUGUAAUUAUAGAAAUUGUGUGAGUGUGUGUGUGUGUGUGUGUGUGUGUGUGUGUGUGUUUCUCCUUUCCAACUCCUGUGUUUUGUCAUAUGCCAUUCUCUUCCCCAGCUGGCCAAGUCUUCAUGCAUCUCAACUUUCAGGAUCCAGCCUGCAUGUCCACUUUCUGAGAAGUCCUCCUUGAUACCCUCAGGUUAGAUUAGCUGUCCCCUCCUCACGCUGCCAGUGGUGCCUGGAAUUGUCUUCUAUCACUAACAAUAAUUACACAGAGCAGUAACUUUUUUCACUUACGUCUCUCACUCAAUAGUGUGAGGCCCUCAGGGGCAAGAUUGAUGUCUGUAAUGGUUAAUUGUGUGAGUCAAACUGGCUAGGUUCUGGUACCCGUAUGUGGGCCAACAUUAUUCUAGAUGUUUCUGUGAGGUGUAUUUUUGAUGAUAUAACUCUUAAAUCAAUAGACUUUCAGCAAUGCCAAGAACCUUCCAUUAUGUGGGAGGGCCUCAUCCAAUCAGCUGAAGGCCUCAAGAGCAAAGACUGACCUCCUGGAACAAGAAGGAAUUUUGUCUUUGGACUUGAACCACAAACUCUUUCCUAGGUUUCCAGCCUGCAGGCCUACUCUGCCAGUUUUGGACUUGCCAGCCUCCACAAUCUUGUGAGCCAAUUACUUAAAAUCAAUCUCUCUCUCUCCUAUAUAUAUAUAUUGAGAUGUGUAUGUGUGUGUGUGUAUACAUCCAGCAGUUCCGUUCCUCUAGAGAACCCUGACACAAGGUUCUAUUAACCUCUCUUCCUCCUACAUCUGCGAUGUACAGCAGUCACUCAGGAGUUGUGGCAUAAGAAGCAAAUAAAUUGAUAUACAAAGGAAUGAUAUUAUGGACAGAAUUUUUAAUUGCACAAAAGGUGAGUCUGGUUCAUUCUUUUAAGUUCUCCUCUGACUUAAUGAUUAGAAUCUACAAUUCUAUUCCUAUUCACUCAAUGGAAGAUCUUUCUUCUCCAGUGUCAUAGAAAAACUCGGGCCACCUCAUGUUCUGCCUUGUUAUAACAUCUCCCUCUUGGAGUUCCCAUGGUGGCUCAGCAGGCUAAGGACCUGAUGUUGUCUUCGUGAGGAUGCAUGUUCGAUCCCUGACCUCACUCGGUGGCCUAAAGGAUCUGGCAUUGCUGCAAGCUGUGGCAUAGGUCUCAGGUGCAGCUCAGAUCUGGUGUUGCCAUGGCUGUGGCACAGGCCUGAAGCUGCAGUUCCAAUUCAACUCCGAGCCUGGGAACUUCCGUGUGCUCCAGGUAAGGCCGUAAAAAGAAAAAAGACAUUGAAGAAAAAAAACUUCCUCUUAAAUUGAGAAUUACUUGAAGGCAGAGAAAUUUAAAUGUUAACCUCUCCUGCUCUAGUGCAGUACUUGAUAUGUAGUAGUCGCUCAAUGAAUAAUUCAAAUGAAUGAUUAGAUUGCAUUGAAUUAUUCCUGAAGUCUACCUCUAAGUGUUCCCAGUAAGGUUCCCAUAGCCAUCAGCUCUACUAAUAAAUAAUGAGCUGUUUUGCUCAUUUGUCAUAUUUUCAUAAUUGUUUUAAUGCAUUGUAUUGAUUUUUGCAUAACAUUUUUAAUGGAAAUCCUUCUGAAGUCUCUCAAUGCCAAACCACCAGUAAUAAAUGUUAAAAUAGAUCGGGGCCUAUUUAAAGGUUAUUUUUCUUUUAAUUAAUUGAAUAGGGAUUAAAUUAGUGGGGAAAAAAUCAAACUUUCUAAAUGGGAAAGUUUAAACUUAAAAGCAUUACAGGGGCUAAAUUAGGCUCCAUUUUGCUUAGCACAUUACUAUUUACAAAACACUGCACCAUUUCAUGACAUUAAAACAACCUGAGCUGCAUAGUGAUAACUUCCUUCCACGACUCAGGAAACUGAGAUCCAGAGUAAUAACUAACUUUUUAUGUUCUAGCCACUAUUACCUGUUUUGUGUGUGUGUGUGAAUUUUCUUUUUUUUUUUUUUUUUGUCUUUUUUAGGGCCACACCCGGGGCAGGCUAGGGAACCCACCUGGAGGUUCCCAGGCUAGGGAUCAAAUUGGAGCUGUAGCUGCCAGCCUACACCGCAACCACAGCAACACGGGAUCCGAGCCACAUCUGUGACCUACACCAUAGCUCACAGCAACGCCGGAUCCUUAACCCACUGAGCAAGGCCAGGGAUUGCCCCCGCAACCCCAUAGUUCCUAGUCGGAUUCGUUAACCACUGAGCCACGACGGGAACUCCUGUAGGACUUCUCUUAACAGAAUAUGUAUCUUAUUGAUUCUAUUCCUCAGGAGACCUCUGACUGAUACACUGUUCAGGGUCAGACAGCUUAAAGUCACACAGCAAGCCAGUUUGGGGCCAGAACUCAAACCAGGCUUGUUGUGUCCAAAAUCUGUAUUUCCCCUGCACCAAGCUGUCUUUAGAUCACCCCAUCCCACAUGAAACCCUUAUGCAAAGUUCUGCGGUUGUUAAUGGGCCUGAUUUCUAUUUUCCCUCAGAUUAAGUAGUUUGGAAAUCUCAGGUAGGAGAUCCCCGUCCCUAUUUGUUUUUUGUUUUAUUUUUAGGGCCACGCCCCCAGCAUAUGCAAGUUCCCAGGCUAAGGGUAGAAUCGGAGCUACAGCUGCUGGCCUACCCCACAGCCAUAGCAAUGCCAGAUCCGAGCCACAUCUGAGACCCAUACCACAGUUUUUGGCAGAGUUGGAUCCUUAACCCACUGAGCAGGGCAUCCUCAUGGAUACUAAUCAGGUUCAUUACCGCUGAGCCGCAAGAACUCCCCUUCACUAUUAAGUCAUGCAGACAGAGGAAAAACAAGUCUGUCUUCAUUCUCCCACUCACCUUGUUUGCUUAAGAAUCAUGGCUUUUACAACCACAGAUUGACAGCCCUGAGCCCCAGUGAGCUUGGUGAAAAUGGAGGGAGGAGCUCCCCUGUGGCUCAGGGGGUUAAGGACCUGGCAUUGUCACUGCAGUGGCUCACUGCUAUAGUAUGGGGUUUGAUUCCUGGCCCCGGAACUUCCACAUGCUAUAGGUGCAGCCAAAAAAAAAGGAGAAAAAGAAAAGGGAGGGAAAGCAGAGAGAGGUCAACCGAGGGUUCUUAGCAAAAGACACCAGUGUGUGGGCUUCAGUGUUCCAUGUAUUCAGGGCCUCAGUUACACUGGGGUUUGAACAGCUUAACUUCAAGGAAUUGGGCCAUUUUAAUUGAAAGGCGUGUUUAGUCUUUUUGUUAAAAAAUCCAAAAGAGAAAAAAAAAGUCUUUAGAAUUAAGGAAUAUUUUGUCUCUGUGGGACCAUUGAAAGUCUAAAAUAUUUCCCAGCAAGAUCCAUUUGUUCAGCUAUUAAUAUACUUUAUUAUUUUCCCACUAUGGCAAGAAUCUCACUGUUCCUUCAGUUGAUAUCUGAGAUGGAAAAAAAGAAAUCAUUAUCAUUUCAGGCUUCAAAAAAUCCUAUUUUCCCUCAAAUGCACAGAGAAAAUGGAAGCAGAAGCUGGCUUUGCUGUGUGAAAAAUCCAGACUGAGUAUAUAGGCUUGUCUUGUCUCUUUUUUCCCACCUAUAAAAUUGAACUAAAAAACAGAAAAGAGGAACUCUCCCUUCAUGACUCAGCGGUCAACGAACCCAACUAGGAUCCAUGAGGAUGUGUAUUCAAUCCCUGGCCUUGCUCAGUGGGUUAAGAAUGCGGCGUUGCCGUGAGUUGUGGUGUAGGUCACACACGCGGCUUUGGAUCUGGCGUUGCUGUGGCUGUGGUGUACGCCAGUAGCUGUAGCUCUGAUUCAGCCCCUAGCCUGGGAACUUUCAUAUGCCACAGGUGUGACCCUAAAAAGCAAAAUAAAUAAAUAGAUAAAAUAAAAAACAGAAAAGACAAAUUUAUAAAACUGUCCCUUCAACUGACCUGAGCUAGAAUGAUAUA